RNAcentral lists this ribosomal RNA (474 nucleotides) under uncultured bacterium. RNAcentral describes it as "bacterial SSU rRNA". It matches the Rfam family "Bacterial small subunit ribosomal RNA", at positions 335 to 801 of the family's 1533-position model. The record is from RNAcentral.
ACUCCUACGGGAGGCAGCAGUAGGGAAUCUUCCACAAUGGGCGCAAGCCUGAUGGAGCAACACCGCGUGAGUGAAGAAGGGUUCGGCUCGUAAAGCUCUGUUGUUAAAGAAGAACACGUAUGAGAGUAACUGUUCAUACGUUGACGGUAUUUAACCAGAAAGUCACGGCUAACUACGUGCCAGCAGCCGCGGUAAUACGUAGGUGGCAAGCGUUAUCCGGAUUUAUUGGGCGUAAAGAGAGUGCAGGCGGUUUUCUAAGUCUGAUGUGAAAGCCUUCGGCUUAACCGGAGAAGUGCAUCGGAAACUGGAUAACUUGAGUGCAGAAGAGGGUAGUGGAACUCCAUGUGUAGCGGUGGAAUGCGUAGAUAUAUGGAAGAACACCAGUGGCGAAGGCGGCUACCUGGUCUGCAACUGACGCUGAGACUCGAAAGCAUGGGUAGCGAACAGGAUUAGAUACCCCGUGGUAGGAUAGCG